UAACGCGUGGGUAACCUGCCUCACACACAUGGAUAACAUACCGAAAGGUAUGCUAAUACAAGAUGAUAUAAGAGAUUCGCAUGGAUUUCUUAUCAAAGCUCCGGCGGUAUGAGAUGGACCCGCGUCUGAUUAGCUGGUUGGUAAGGUGACGGCUUACCAAGGCGACGAUCAGUAGCCGACCUGAGAGGGUGAUCGGCCACAUUGGAACUGAGACACGGUCCAAACUCCUACGGGAGGCAGCAGUGGGGAAUAUUGCACAAUGGGCGAAAGCCUGAUGCAGCAACGCCGCGUGAGCGAUGAAGGCCUUCGGGUCGUAAAGCUCUGUCCUCAAGGAAGAUAAUGACGGUACUUGAGGAGGAAGCCCCGGCUAACUACGUGCCAGCAGCCGCGGUAAUACGUAGGGGGCUAGCGUUAUCCGGAUUUACUGGGCGUAAAGGGUGCGUAGGUGGUUUCUUAAGUCAGGAGUGAAAGGCUACGGCUCAACCGUAGUAAGCUCUUGAAACUGGGAAACUUGAGUGCAGGAGAGGAAAGUGGAAUUCCUAGUGUAGCGGUGAAAUGCGUAGAUAUUAGGAGGAACACCAGUAGCGAAGGCGGCUUUCUGGACUGUAACUGACACUGAGGCACGAAAGCGUGGGGAGCAAACAGAAUGAGAUACCCUGGUAGUCCACGCCGUAAACGAUGAGUGCUAGGUGUGGGGGGUUUCCCCCUUCGGUGCCGCAGCUUACGCUUUAAGUACUCCGCCUGGGGAGUACGCUCGCAAGAGUGAAACUCAAAGGAAUUGACGGGGACCCGCACAAGUUAGCGGAGCAUGUGGUUUAAUUAGAAGCAACGCGAAGAACCUUACCUAAGCUUGACAUCCUUUUGACCGAUGCCUAAUCGCAUCUUUCCCUUCGGGGACAGAAGUGACAGGUGGUGCAUGGUUGUCGUCAGCUCGUGUCGUGAGAUGUUGGGUCAAGUCCCGCAACGAGCGCAACCCUUGCCUUUAGUUGCCAGCAUUAAGUUGGGCACUCUAGAGGGACUGCCAGGGAUAACCUGGAGGAAGGUGGGGAUGACGUCAAAUCAUCAUGCCCACUUAUGCUUAGGGCUACACACGUGCUACAAUGGGUGGUACAGAGGG
This 1117-nucleotide ribosomal RNA is filed under the name uncultured bacterium. RNAcentral's name for it is "bacterial SSU rRNA". It matches the Rfam family "Bacterial small subunit ribosomal RNA", at positions 111 to 1246 of the family's 1533-position model. The record is from RNAcentral.